GACGAACGCUGGCGGCGUGCUUAACACAUGCAAGUCGAACGGAAAGGCCCUGCUUUUGUGGGGUGCUCGAGUGGCGAACGGGUGAGUAACACGUGAGUAACCUGCCCUUGACUUUGGGAUAACUUCAGGAAACUGGGGCUAAUACCGGAUAGGAUCUCCUGCUGCAUGGUGGGGGUUGGAAAGUUUCGGCGGUUGGGGAUGGACUCGCGGCUUAUCAGCUUGUUGGUGGGGUAGUGGCUUACCAAGGCUUUGACGGGUAGCCGGCCUGAGAGGGUGACCGGCCACAUUGGGACUGAGAUACGGCCCAGACUCCUACGGGAGGCAGCAGUGGGGAAUAUUGCACAGUGGGCGGAAGCCUGAUGCAGCAACGCCGCGUGCGGGAUGACGGCCUUCGGGUUGUAAACCGCUUUCGCCUGUGACGAAGCGUGAGUGACGGUAAUGGGUAAAGAAGCACCGGCUAACUACGUG
Molecule: ribosomal RNA, 468 nt
Filed under: uncultured bacterium
Lineage: Bacteria
Description: partial 16S ribosomal RNA
Rfam family: Bacterial small subunit ribosomal RNA
Source: RNAcentral